UACGUAGGGUGCGAGCGUUAAUCGGAAUUACUGGGCGUAAAGCGUGCGCAGGCGGUUUUGUAAGCCAGAUGUGAAAUCCCCGGGCUUAACCUGGGAAUGGCAUUUGGGACUGCAAGGCUCGAGUGCGGCAGAGGAGACUGGAAUUCCUGGUGUAGCAGUGAAAUGCGUAGAUAUCAGGAGGAACACCGAUGGCGAAGGCAGGUCUCUGGGCAGACACUGACGCUCAUGCACGAAAGCGUGGGGAGCAAACAGG
RNAcentral lists this ribosomal RNA (253 nucleotides) under uncultured bacterium. RNAcentral's name for it is "partial 16S ribosomal RNA". It matches the Rfam family "Bacterial small subunit ribosomal RNA", at positions 524 to 776 of the family's 1533-position model. The record is from RNAcentral.